AACAUUGAAAAUUCCAAACAAUACAGCAAGUACUCAUAUUGUAUUUCCUAGGAGCAUGUAUUUCCAAGCUCCCUAACCAAACAGCAGCAUAGAUAGUAGUUUGUGUGACAGAGGGAAGGAGUAAGUUCCUGGGAUAAUAUGGCUUCUGCUACUCUAAAUGGAGUUUCCAUGAACGGGUUUGCAUCAUCUCUAGUUUGCUAUCUUCCUAAUUUUCACGCAUUUCCUCGAAUUUCAACUUUUUCCUCAUCUUGUUUUUAUUCUUCUUCUUCUGGUCCUGGGAUGUACAAAGUUCAUCAUCUUUUGAGAGCUUCCUCUGAAGAACUUUCGAGUGAGUUGGUUGAAGAUUCAAAGUUUGUUCCUCUGGAAGCUGAAGAUCCCAGUUAUGGCCCCCCGGCCAUACUGCUUCUGGGGUUUCAAGUGGAAGAGGCAGAUAAGAUUCAGCAACUUCUGAAGGACUUGGAUGGGGAGUUUUUACAGGUUAUCUACUGCACCGAAGACAUGAUUACUCGCUCACUUUGGGAUGCGGUGAAUAGUGGACAGCAGGACUUGGGGAAGUUGAGGAUUGCAAAAUCAGUACCUCGGAUAUGCUUUCUUUCUGGGCUUAGUGGGGAAGAGAUGAUGAUGUUCAUAGAUUCCUUCGAAGAAACUGGUCUAGAGCCUGCUGUAUUCGCGGCCCAUGUUCCCAACAGCUCUGAUAAAUCAUUAUUGGAGCUGACAGAAGAAAUUAUGGGAGAUCAUGAGAUGCUGUCUGCAAAACAAUCGGAUCCUAAGUAGGCAAUAUGGUUCGUUGAUCGGCGACAUAUUCUUAUUUUCUCGUCCUCUCUCUUGGUGGGUGCAAGAAGCCAUCUUGGCUAGUUUAUAAGCCAUCGGCAAAAAUAAUUUGUGAGUCUCGCAUGUAAAUAAAGGGGAAAAAACAAGGGGUCUACAAAAUCAAUUCGGAUGCAGCAUUUUCAAAGAUAGAACUGUGGGGCUAGGAGGCGUCAUGCGGGACACUGCUGGAGAGAUUAUGGGGGCAAUGUGUAUGCUAAUGGAGGUGGAUGAAACUGAAGCGUGUGCAGCUUGACACGCUUUGAAGAUUGAUAUGGAGUCGGGCCUCUGAAAUGUUGUUUUGGAAAGUGACUGCCUCAAGCUGAUUUCCCAACUGAAACAUAAGACCCGAGAUGACACAAGCUUCGGAAAUAUCGUAGAUGACAUCUUGUGGCUAGGUAGCUUUUAUUCCAGCAUCUCCUUCAAUCAUGUGCGAAGAGAGGGAAAUAGAGUUGCACACACUCUAGCUCAGAGUAGUAAGGAGUAUGGUUGUAUGCGUGUUUGGAUUGAAGAAGUGCCACCUGAGGCCAUCUCUUUUGUAUUCUCGGAUGUGGCUUUAAUGAAUGAUUAAGAGUUCUUUUCUCGUCAAAAAAAAAACCCUCUAAUGUAAGCACAUGUAAAGCCACUUUCAUUAGCCCCCUAAAAUUUUAGAGAGACGAGAUUUUCAGUCUGUUUAGAAUUCUCAAGCCUCCUAGAAUCCAGCCUUUCCACCACCUAAAUUUUGGUCUCUCCACUGCCUCUUCCCUUUGCGCCGCUAUCGCCUCCCUUCUCUAUGUCAGAUAUGUGUUUUCGCUGCCUUCCCAUCACUACUAGUCCGACCUUUCGUCAUCGCUUUCCCGUUGGUGUCGCCACCAUCUGGUGGUCAAUUGCCUUGCUUUCGACAUCGGUGAUCAAGGUUUUUCUAUUUUCUAUCGGUGGUCAUAUGUGUGUGUGCAUAUGUAUGCGACUCCAUGUGCUGGAAUUAUUCUUUAAGGACAAAGGAUGCAAUGCUGGACACAUUGUUUGGGUAAUGCAGAUAUGUAGUGCAAAUGCAAAGAUAUGACACUAAUGUAAAGAUAUAUUGUUAAUGCAGAUGAUAGGAUAUGAUGCUAAUGCAUUGAUAGGAUGUAUGCUUUAUCGUUCUUUUAGAAGCUCAAUUUUUCUUUCAGUAAAUAGUUUUCAAAAGAGAAGAAAUGAGAACCCCCAAGGAUGGUCCAUGUAGGUUAUAUUUGAUUCAAAAUGUGUCAUAGAACGAAUCUUCGAUUUUAGUUUGUUAUGGGCCAAAGUGUGCCCAUAAAAUAUUUAGGAUGUCAUGUUAUUUUCUCGUAUGGGUCUGGAGCCCACAAUCUUUUGUAUGGACUCUUGAUGAAUUCCUUAUCAAAAUACACAUAAAGCCUAUGAAAGAGGAGGAAUAGGAAUCCCCAAGGAUGAUCCAUUUAGUUAAUAGAUUAUGUUGGAUUCAAAAUAUGUUGUAAAACGAGUCUUCAUAAUGCUUGAGUUGUAAAUGCUUCAAUUUUUGUAUGCCAAGGGCCUAAGUGAACCCAUAAAGAAGUUUGAUCUUGUAUCAAUGCGAGUUUAAACUCAAGAUUCCAUGUAUGGACUCGUAAUGAAAUCCUUAUCACAAUAGGCCUAGACUGUGGAUUACUGAUGAAGCCCCCAGCAAGAUGGAGUUGAUGAAAUAUCCAACUUAAUUGCUUGAUUUGAAGAUAUAUCGUCACGCUUAGUGGAAGUUCGAUCAAAGAUUCCAUAUAGGUUUCCUAAGGUGAAUUGGACAAUGUGUAAGUCAAGGGAUCCUUGUUUGUGUAUGUAUAUGAACUUGUUUUCUUAUAAUCAUAGAUUGGGAUGAAUUCAAUGGAAAUUUUGACAAUCUUGCAAAUGGUGUAUUGGAAGUUAUUGGUGAUUGUUUUGGUA
RNA transcript from Beta vulgaris subsp. vulgaris (sugar beet), 2697 nucleotides. RefSeq lists it as hypothetical. The record is from RefSeq and is a predicted model, not a curated record. NCBI's taxonomy places the organism in Eukaryota, Viridiplantae, Streptophyta, Magnoliopsida, Caryophyllales, Amaranthaceae. The transcript is spliced from 9 exons.